AAUCCUAACAAUCUCUCGUUUCGAUCAAUUCGAAAUGACAAUUUCCCCUCUAUUAUACCAUAUUCACAUAACGCAGUUGGAAUGCAACGAUGGAAACGAAAAUGUCACGAUCGGUGGACAACGUUAUUCAUGGCCACUUCUCUCCAAGAUGGAGGAGAGAAAACGUGUGCCAAUCCUUUCGGGAAAUAUGAUUCAUCGGGGAGUAUAGAUCCGGCGGAAGCUUGGCAAAAACAGUUGGUGAUUUAUUGAUCCGAGUUCAAUGUCUCGAAGAAACGAGAUUGGAAUUAGAACGAUACGAACGAUUUACUCACUGGCAAUUAUAUGUAAAUUUGUCGUGUCCAAGAAGAGGCACGACCGAAAUAAUUCACGAACUGUAGCAGAACGGACGCAACAACUUUCUUGCUGGCUUAAGUCGGGCUAACUUUGAGUCACGUUGCUCGAAAUUCCAUCGGAGUUUUCUAUGCCAAGUGCAGCAGCCUAUACGAACACGUAUGCGUUGUCAUAUAUUCAUUUUUUCGUUUCAAAUGACACUGUCAAAAAUAUAUCUACGUGAAAUAGUUGUAUGUUUUUUUUAGAUAAAUAUCGUCAGAAAAAAUAACGUCUGAUGCAUAAACCUGAAAGAAUCUCAGUAAUGAUUUGUUAAAAAUUUUACUAAUAAACCAAAAAUUACAAUUUA
Bombus impatiens (common eastern bumble bee) is the source of this 676-nucleotide long non-coding RNA. RefSeq lists it as uncharacterized. Lineage: Eukaryota; Metazoa; Arthropoda; Insecta; Hymenoptera; Apidae. The record is from RefSeq and is a predicted model, not a curated record. The transcript is spliced from 2 exons.